Molecule: ribosomal RNA, 501 nt
Filed under: uncultured bacterium
Lineage: Bacteria
Description: partial 16S ribosomal RNA
Rfam family: Bacterial small subunit ribosomal RNA
Source: RNAcentral
AUUGAACGCUGGCGGCAUGCCUUUCACAUGCAAGUCGAACGGCAGCACGGGUGCUUGCACCUGGUGGCGAGUGGCGAACGGGUGAGUAAUACAUCGGAACGUACCUUAUCGUGGGGGAUAACGCAGCGAAAGCUGUGCUAAUACCGCAUACGCCCUGAGGGGGAAAGCGGGGGAUCGAAAGACCUCGCGCGAUUAGAGCGGCCGAUGCCUGAUUAGCUUGUUGGUGGGGUAAAAGCCCACCAAGGCGACGAUCAGUAGCUGGUCUGAGAGGACGAUCAGCCACACUGGGACUGAGACACGGCCCAGACUCCUACGGGAGGCAGCAGUGGGGAAUUUUGGACAAUGGGGGCAACCCUGAUCCAGCAGCGCCGCGUGAGUGAAGAAGGCCUUCGGGUUGUAAAGCUCUUUUGUCAGGGAAGAAACACCGGCUCUAACACAGUCCGGGAAUGACGGUACCUGAAGAAUAAGCACCGGCUAACUACGUGCCAGCAGCCGCCGCCG